CGGGGCGUAGCGCAGUUUGGCUAGCGCGACUGGUUUGGGACCAGUAGGUCGCGAGUUCGAAUCUCGCCGCCCCGACCA
Molecule: transfer RNA, 78 nt
Filed under: Victivallales bacterium
Lineage: Bacteria; Pseudomonadati; Lentisphaerota; Lentisphaeria; Victivallales
Description: tRNA-Pro
Rfam family: tRNA
About the family: Transfer RNA (tRNA) molecules are approximately 80 nucleotides in length. Their secondary structure includes four short double-helical elements and three loops (D, anti-codon, and T loops).
Source: RNAcentral